This 465-nucleotide ribosomal RNA is filed under the name Triticum aestivum (bread wheat). RNAcentral describes it as "partial small subunit ribosomal RNA". The record is from RNAcentral. Lineage: Eukaryota; Viridiplantae; Streptophyta; Magnoliopsida; Poales; Poaceae.
AUGUUCCUAGAGAAAAAUAAGUUGAAAGAUGAUAGUAUCAAUGAUACAGACUUGGUCCGUGAUCUGAGGAUUAUCCUCAUUGUUGUACAGAAGAAUUAUUUCCUUAAUGCACUGCUAGGUGACAGACCUAUUGCAGGAGCAGAUGCAAACGUUAUGAACGUCUGGCAAGCUUGGUAUGAUGACUACUUCAUAUUUUUGUGCACCAUGAUUUACAGCUUAGAACUGGGACUUCAAAAAUGUUUUGAACGCCAUGGAACAUAUGAGAUGUUCCAAGAGCUGAAAUUGGUAUUUCAGACUCAUGCCCGUGUCGAGAGGUAUGAGACCUCUGACAAGUACUUUGCCUACAAGAUGGAGGAGAAUAGCUCAGCCAGUGAGCAUGUGCUCAAAAUGUCUGGGUACUACAAUCGCAUGAAUCAAGUGGGAGUUAGUCUUCCAGAUAAGAUAGUGAUUGACAGAGUUCUCUAG